GUGAAUCAUCGAAUUUUUGAACGCAAAUUGCACUCUCUUCGGAGAGUAUGCCUGUUUGAGGGUCAGUAUUAAUAAAAAUCGGUGUGUUGCUUCUUUGUGACGCUCCGGGGUUUGGGUCAUCUUAAUAUCUUUUAGGUUUUAAGAGGCUUAAAAUUGACUUUUUUUGCUUUUUUUCGAUGUUAUUAAAUUCUUUUUUUUUAUCUUUUGUCUUACUGCUCAUAAUCCUAUUAGUUGCGACCAUUUCG
RNAcentral lists this unclassified non-coding RNA (245 nucleotides) under Glomeraceae sp. Its description in RNAcentral is "partial contains 5.8S ribosomal RNA and internal transcribed spacer 2". The stretch from base 1 to 65 matches the Rfam family "5.8S ribosomal RNA", at positions 84 to 154 of the family's 154-position model. The record is from RNAcentral. Lineage: Eukaryota; Fungi; Glomeromycota; Glomeromycetes; Glomerales; Glomeraceae.